This 257-nucleotide ribosomal RNA is filed under the name uncultured prokaryote. Its description in RNAcentral is "partial 16S ribosomal RNA". It matches the Rfam family "Bacterial small subunit ribosomal RNA", at positions 521 to 777 of the family's 1533-position model. The record is from RNAcentral.
UAAUACAGAGGGUGCAAGCGUUAAUCGGAAUUACUGGGCGUAAAGCGCGCGUAGGUGGUUCGUUAAGUUGGAUGUGAAAGCCCCGGGCUCAACCUGGGAACUGCAUUCAAAACUGACGAGCUAGAGUAUGGUAGAGGGUGGUGGAAUUUCCUGUGUAGCGGUGAAAUGCGUAGAUAUAGGAAGGAACACCAGUGGCGAAGGCGACCACCUGGACUGAUACUGACACUGAGGUGCGAAAGCGUGGGGAGCAAACAGGA